This 542-nucleotide ribosomal RNA is filed under the name uncultured bacterium. RNAcentral describes it as "bacterial SSU rRNA". It matches the Rfam family "Bacterial small subunit ribosomal RNA", at positions 368 to 917 of the family's 1533-position model. The record is from RNAcentral.
GGANUGGGCGAAGCCUGACGCAGCGACGCCGCGUGGGGGAUGAAGCUUUUCGGAGCGUAAACCCCUUUCGACCCGGACGAAUGCCCGCAAGGGCUUGACGGUACGGGUAGAAGAAGCCCCGGCUAACUACGUGCCAGCAGCCGCGGUAAAACGUAGGGGGCCAGCGUUGCUCGGAAUUACUGGGCGUAAAGGGUCUGUAGGCGGUGCGGCAAGUCGGAAGUGAAAUCGCAGGGCUUAACUCUGCGGCUGCUCCCGAAACUGCCGUGCUCGAGUGCGAGAUAGGCGAGUGGAAUUGCAGGUGUAGCGGUGAAAUGCGUAGAUAUCUGCAGGAACAUCCGAGGCGAAAGCGGCUCGCUGGAUCGCAACUGACGCUGAGAGACGAAAGCUAGGGGAGCAAACAGGAUUAGAUACCCUGGUAGUCCUAGCCCUAAACGAUGCAUAUUUGGUGUGGGUCAUUCAGUUGAUCCGUGCCGGAGCUAACGCGUUAAAUAUGCCGCCUGGGGAGUACAGUCGCAAGGCUGAAACUCAAAGAAAUUGACGGA